UUUUAGAGAUAGGAGUAGUGCCUUCGGGGAACAUGAAAACAGGUGCUGCACGGCUGUCGUCAGCUCGUGUCGUGAGAUGUUGGGUUAAGUCCCGCAACGAGCGCAACCCUCGUCCUUAGUUGCCAGCAGGUUAAGCUGGGCACUUUAAGGAGACUGCCUUCGCAAGGAGGAGGAAGGUGAGGACGACGUCAAGUCAUCAUGGCCCUUAUGGCUAGGGCUACACACGUGCUACAAUGGGGCGUACAGAGAGUUGCGAUACCGCGAGGUGGAGCCAGUCUCAUAAAGCGUCUCUCAGUUCGGAUUGAAGUCUGCAACUCGACUUCAUGAAGCUGGAAUCACUAGUAAUCGUAGAUCAGCAAUGCUACGGUGAAUACGUUCCCGGGUCUUGUACUCACCGCCCGUCACA
Molecule: ribosomal RNA, 406 nt
Filed under: uncultured marine bacterium
Lineage: Bacteria
Description: bacterial SSU rRNA
Rfam family: Bacterial small subunit ribosomal RNA
Source: RNAcentral